AGAGUUUGAUCAUGGCUCAGGACGAACGCUGGCGGCGUGCUUAAUACAUGCAAGUCGAGCGAGGUUACUGUUUUGGAUCCCUUCGGGGUGAAGAAGCUUUAACCUAGCGGCGGACGGGUGAGUAACGCGUGGGUAACCUACCCCAAAGUCCGGGAUAACAGCGGGAAACCGCUGCUAAUACCGGAUGCCUUUACCUUGGGGCAUCUUGAGGUAAAGAAAGGCAACGCUUUGGGAUGGGCCCGCGUCCCAUUAGCUAGUUGGUGAGGUAACGGCUCACCAAGGCGACGAUGGGUAGCCGGCCUGAGAGGGUGGACGGCCACACUGGGACUGAGACACGGCCCAGACUCCUACGGGAGGCAGCAGUAGGGAAUAUUGCGCAAUGGACGGAAGUCUGACGCAGCGACGCCGCGUGAGCGAUGAAGGUCUUCGGAUCGUAAAGCUCUGUCCUUGGGGAAGAAGGCGAAAGCUUGACGGUACCCAAGAAGAAAGCCCCGGCUAACUACGUGCCAGCAGCCGCGGUAAUACGUAGGGGGCGAGCGUUGUCCGGAAUUACUGGGCGUAAAGGGUGCGUAGGCGGCCCUUUAAGUCGGAUGUGAAAGCCCGCGGCUUAACCGCGGAAUGGCAUUCGAAACUGGAGGGCUUGAGUGUCGGAGAGGGUAGUGGAAUUCCCAGUGUAGCGGUGAAAUGCGUAGAUAUUGGGAGGAACACCAGUGGCGAAGGCGACUACCUGGACGAUAACUGACGCUGAGGCACGAAAGCUAGGGGAGCAAACAGGAUUAGAUACCCUGGUAGUCCUAGCCGUAAACGAUGGGUACUAGGUGUAGGUGGUUUCGAUACCAUCCGUGCCGUAGUUAACGCAUUAAGUACCCCGCCUGGGGAGUACGUGCGCAAGCAUGAAACUCAAAUGAAUUGACGG
Molecule: ribosomal RNA, 916 nt
Filed under: uncultured bacterium
Lineage: Bacteria
Description: bacterial SSU rRNA
Rfam family: Bacterial small subunit ribosomal RNA
Source: RNAcentral